This 253-nucleotide ribosomal RNA is filed under the name uncultured bacterium. Its description in RNAcentral is "partial 16S ribosomal RNA". It matches the Rfam family "Bacterial small subunit ribosomal RNA", at positions 524 to 776 of the family's 1533-position model. The record is from RNAcentral.
UACGAAGGGUCCAAGCGUUGUUCGGAAUUACUGGGCGUAAAGCGCGCGUAGGCGGUUACUCAAGUCGGAUGUGAAAGCCCUCGGCUUAACUGAGGAAGUGCACCCGAAACUGAGUAGCUAGAGUACUAAAGAGGGUCGCGGAAUUCCCGGUGUAGAGGUGAAAUUCGUAGAUAUCGGGAGGAACACCGGUGGCGAAGGCGGCGACCUGGGUAGAUACUGACGCUGAGGAGCGAAAGCGUGGGGAGCGAACAGG